CACUUUGCAAAUAUAAUGUAUCAUAUCAUGGGCAAUUUAGAAAAAGGCCCGAAGCUACAAGUCCUUCAAUUUCAUUUUUCAUCUAAGUAAAAAUUUAUUAAGAACAAUCGUAACCAAUGCAUCAGGUCCUUCAAAAUUAUUUAAAUCUUAAAGAAAUCUCCACCACUAUGCCAGUUUUAACGACACCACCACCAGAAAAAACAGUGAACUUCUUUAACGCAACAACAAUGGCGAGAUCCAAGAAAGCAAUUUUUCCGAAAAUAGAUUUUUAAUAUAAUUAAUUUGGAAAAAAAGUAUACGAUCAAUCACAAACAUACACAAAUGAUAAACAAGCAGAAGCUACUUCAAACCAUCCCUCCUCCAAAAAAAAAAAAGAAAUAUAAUAAAAAGAAUCGUUAAAAGCUCAUGUUUUUCAUCAAUGAACAAAUAAAAGAAUUAAAUACAGAUAAGAAUUUUUCUCCCGCAGAAUGUUUGACGAAAUAUUCAAUAACUUCCCAAAUAAACACGUCAUAUUCAAAUCUCAAAUAUAUUGACAAGUAAAAAAAAAUUCCAAAAUUUCUACCACCAAAGGGACUCAACCAUGAUCUCGAUCUGAAAGCCGUUCUGGGAAAUUACUAUCCUUACAAGUGAAUUCAAAAUCUCCAUCUGAAGAAGUCUCACGAGAACAAAUUGAUUAAGUAAUUGAAACUAGGGAUGAAAGGCAAGGAUAUCCUUAGAAGCCGAUUGAAAGGCAAGGAUGCCUUUAGGAGUCAGAUGAAGGUGAAAACACCAUUGCAGCAGUAGUUGAGUUCAUUGGAUUAUUGGGAUUGACGCUUGGGUUUGGGACUGAUGAGAACUGUUUGUGGUUGAGAUGAGAGGGACGAGAGAGAUUAAAAGGACGGUAAUCUAAGUCAAAUAGGUAAUCUAAAAUAUAC
This 914-nucleotide long non-coding RNA is filed under the name Jatropha curcas. RNAcentral's name for it is "long non-coding RNA (JCUR_LNC000186)". The record is from RNAcentral. Lineage: Eukaryota; Viridiplantae; Streptophyta; Magnoliopsida; Malpighiales; Euphorbiaceae.